Elaeis guineensis (African oil palm) is the source of this 2200-nucleotide non-coding RNA. The record is from RefSeq and is a predicted model, not a curated record. Lineage: Eukaryota; Viridiplantae; Streptophyta; Magnoliopsida; Arecales; Arecaceae.
GCAUCUCGCCUGCUUAUCGACCGCCUUUCCCCAGCACGGCCUAUUCUUCUCUCUCCGCUUGCCACCAGCGUCGCGUUCCCCACCGCGCCCACUGAUCGAAACCCUCCUCGCGAUAAAACCGUACGUGCCCGAGAGGAGGGCGUGAGAGGCCCCUUGGCCGCCCUCGCGAAGAUAUGGAGGAAGGAGCGAGAGCGGAGAUCGCCCACCACCCCCCCGCCCUCGUCGACGACGGCGAGAUCAACGACUGGAGCAAGGAGGAGGACGAGCCCAUGGCGGAGAAUCCGCCUCCCGCUGAUGAAACUGUAGCGCCUCCUCCCGCCGAAGAUGUCAAAGUGGUUCAGUCAAACCUUCAGUCAUUGCAGUUGGAAACAAAAGUGAAAGAUAAGGAGGCAGCUGCAACUGAGGAAGUUGAAGAGCUGGAUGAAAAGGAAGAAGACAAGAAGCGGCACCUAAAUGUUGUUUUCAUUGGUCAUGUUGAUGCUGGUAAGUCUACAACCGGAGGCCAGAUACUUUUCCUCAGUGGUCAGGUUGAUGACCGAACUAUACAGAAAUAUGAGAAGGAAGCAAAAGAUAAAAGCAGAGAAAGCUGGUACAUGGCUUAUAUUAUGGACACGAAUGAGGAAGAACGUGUAAAGGGAAAGACUGUGGAGGUUGGCAGAGCUCAUUUUGAGACAGAAAAUACAAGAUUCACAAUUUUAGAUGCUCCGGGUCAUAAAAGUUAUGUGCCAAACAUGAUCAGUGGUGCAUCGCAAGCUGAUAUUGGAGUUCUGGUUAUAUCUGGUCGUAAGGGUGAAUUUGAAACUGGAUUUGAAAAAGGAGGACAGACUCGAGAGCAUGUACAACUUGCAAAAACAUUGGGUGUUGCUAAGAUGGUUGUUGUUGUCAACAAAAUGGAUGAACCUACUGUGAAAUGGUCCAAAGAAAGGUUUAAUGAAAUAGAGAGUAAGAUGGGUCCUUUCCUUAAGUCAUCAGGUUACUCAAGGAAAGAUGUUCAAUUUCUUCCCAUCUCUGGUUUGGUGGGUACCAAUAUGAAGACCAGAGUGGAGAAAAGCAUUUGUGAUUGGUGGGAUGGUCCGUGCUUGUUUGAAGUCCUGGAUUCAAUUCAGGUUCCUCCACGGGAUCCUAAAGGCCCUCUCAGUUUGAUAUGCAGGAUGCCAAUUAUUGAUAAAUACAAAGACAUGGGGACUGUUGUGAUGGGAAAAAUAGAGUCCGGAAGUAUUCGUGAGGGUGACAACUUGUGGGUCAUGCCCAACAAAGCUAAUGUAAAAGUGCUUGCUAUUCAUUGUGAUGAAAAUAAAGUAAAUCGUGCGGAGCCUGGUGAGAAUGUCCGGGUCAAGUUGUCAGGGAUUGAAGAGGAGGAUAUCGUGGCUGGUUUUGUCCUUUCAAGCAUUGCAAAUCCAAUCAAUGCUGUUACUGAAUUCAAUGCCCAGUUGCAGAUCCUUGAAUUGCUUGACAAUGCAAUUUUUACUGCUGGUUACAAGGCAGUAUUACACAUCCAUGCAAUUGUUGAGGAGUGUGAGAUUGUAGAUCUUAUAGAAGAAAUUGACACAAAGAAAAAGAACACUGAUCCAAAGAAAAAGAAGCCAAAGAGAAAGCCUCUUUUUGUUAAGAAUGGUGCUGUUGUUGUCUGCUGCAUUCAGAUUUUGCCCAGCUUGGAAGGUUUACCCUUCGUACUGAAGGUGAGGAGAAUUUUGGAGUGAUGAUGCGGUUGUGCUUAUUGUGAUGAUAACAUGGUUUGUGCUGUUACAACAGGGAAAACAGUUGCAGUAGGGAAAGUUGUUGCACUUCCUCCUCCAGGACGCUCAGCUUUUGCAUCUUAAACAAAUUUUGGUUUAGAAGGAAGAGACAUUUCUGUACUACGAGAGAUCAUCAACUUUCUGAAUACGGUUAUUCAAUAACAUGAGCGUUAUUUCUGAAGCAGCCUUGAGGUUUCUGUGGUUUUUAUCUAGAGCAACAAAGGAUAAACAAGGUGGAUCUUGAUUCCUAGUUGCAGUAGAAGAGCGUUAUGAUGAGCACGAUUGAGCUUGUGUCAUUUGUUUUAUGAGGUGAAAUACCACCCUUCGCUGGGUGUGAGUUAAAACUACUUGAGCGUGGCUUGUCUAUACUUGCUUUAUAGUUCUUUAUACAUGUGUGCUAGCAAUUUUUCCACAGGUCUGGCAACAGGAAUCAUUAUGAUUAGUAUGAUCGAGCUUGUCAUUUA